This 844-nucleotide small RNA is filed under the name Pongo abelii (Sumatran orangutan). RNAcentral's name for it is "processed transcript". Lineage: Eukaryota; Metazoa; Chordata; Mammalia; Primates; Hominidae. The record is from RNAcentral.
GAGCGCAGAAGUUUGCCAGAAAACCGCCGGAAACGGACAGAAAGGAGUCCCUGCGACCGCGUAGCCUCCUGCAGCGCCCCCUGUUGGCAGAGUCGUAGUGAGGCCGAGAUGAGGACUCUGACCCCAGUGCAGUGUCUGUAGGGAAGAGGAGCCAUGGGGCUUCGGGCAGGCCCCAUCCUGCUUCUGCUGCUGUGGCUGCUGCCAGGUGAGGGAUGCGCCUCUGUCUUCUCCUCCCUCCCACCCCCUGCCAGCCUGUGUGCUCCCCUUUGCUCUCUUGCUUUCCAGGGGCCCAUGGGGAUGUGCUGCCUUCAGAAUGCGGCCACUCCAAGGAGGCUGGGAGGAUUGUGGGAGGCCAAGACACCCAGGAAGGAUGCUGGCCAUGGCAGGUUGGCCUGUGGUUGACCUCAGUGGGGCACGUAUGUGGGGGCUCCCUCAUCCACCCACGCUGGGUGCUCACGGCCGCCCACUGCUUCCUGAGGGUGACUCCGGGGGGCCGCUGGUCUGCCCCAUCAAUGAUACGUGGAUCCAGGCCGGCAUUGUGAGCUGGGGAUUCGGCUGUGCCCGGCCUUUCCGGCCUGGUGUCUACACCCAGGUGCUAAGCUACACAGACUGGAUUCAGAGAACCCUGGCUGAAUCUCACUCAGGCAUGUCCGGGGACCGCCCAGGUGCCCCCGGGUCCCACUCAGGCACCUCCAGAUCCCACCUAGUGCUGCCGCUUGAGCUGUUGACCGUAUGCUUGCUUGGGUCCCUGUGAACCAUGAGCCAUGGAGUCUGGGAUCCCCCUUCUGGUAGGAUUGAUGGAAUGUAAUAAUAAAAACUGUAAGUUUUUUUAACGUGUAUUUUA